AACUCUCAACCUCCUUUCCUUUGUGAUCGGCUGGUUGGAUCAUGGGCGCUUGCCGGCCAGGUCGGCUCGCCUGAAAUGCAUUUGCGAUGUUGUGUCCUUGUGAGUUGGCCCGACUAGGCGUGAUGGUAACGACGUUCGUCUAGGAUCCCGCUUCGGCGAGGAGCCGCUCCUGUUGGGCGUUUGCCUUCGCAUGAACACUCGUAUCUUUGG
Molecule: unclassified non-coding RNA, 210 nt
Filed under: uncultured Basidiomycota
Lineage: Eukaryota; Fungi; Basidiomycota
Also listed under: 1 other name
Description: sequence contains ITS2
Source: RNAcentral